This 282-nucleotide non-coding RNA is filed under the name Phascolarctos cinereus (koala). Lineage: Eukaryota; Metazoa; Chordata; Mammalia; Diprotodontia; Phascolarctidae. The record is from RNAcentral.
GUCCGGAAUAGUGGUGUGUGCCUGUGUUCUCUGCUGUUGAAGAGGCUCUAAGAGUUCAGGAGUUCUGAGCUGCUAUAGGGCUACAGUUGACUGGGUGACUACAUUAAGUCCAACAUCAAUAUGGUGAGCACUUGGGAGUGGAGGGCCACCAGGCUACUUAAGGAGGGGAGAACUGGCCUAGGUCACAAAAAAAAAUGCAGCAGGUUAAAACUUCCAUAUUAAUUAGUACUGAGAUUGGCCCAUGAACAGCCAUUGUACUCCCAUCCUGGAUGAGACAGAGAC